This 1001-nucleotide long non-coding RNA is filed under the name Heterocephalus glaber (naked mole-rat). RNAcentral's name for it is "lncRNA (ENSHGLG00100036807.1)". Lineage: Eukaryota; Metazoa; Chordata; Mammalia; Rodentia; Bathyergidae. The record is from RNAcentral.
AGGCACCCCUGGGGCUGGCGCUGGCGCAGGCUGUGCUGCCUCAGCCCCGAGAGCCCCUCCCCUCACCUGAACUCUGCCCGCCACCUCCUUGGCAGUGCCUUCCCACAGGCCAUGGCUGGGAGCAGCCCGGGACCCGGGCCAGUGCCCAGCCACCAACUGGGGACAGGCCAGGUUGCACUCAGGACGGGAGAGAACAGCACGCAGGAGGGAGGGAGAGAUGCUGGGUCUCCCUCUUGGCAUCGGGAAAGCUUUUGCUGUGGCGAUCUCAGUGUUUAGUGAGGUGGCAGCAGGGCCUGAGCCCCGGCUGCUGUCACCCCUGUGCCCUCUGCCCUCAUGUGUCCCUCGCCCUGGCCCUGGAGUCGUGGCAGAGGGCCUGCCUUGGCCCAAGGCCCCAGGACAGGCGCAUGGCUUCCCAGCGUGCGUGUCAGCCCACCAUCGUGAGCUCUGGAGACGGCGUGGCCCUCAGCCCCGCCCUGCCUCCCUCGCCCCAGUGCCCAGAGAAUGGAAUAAUGGAAUCCGCCUCCUGGGAUUCUGAGGCCAGAGUGAAGACUUCCCGUGGGGCUGUUGGGGUGACCCGAGCUGUGCCGGCGACUGCAGGACAGCUCCUGGGUGUCCCGUCCUGCUCUCUCCCUCCCCACCUUGGCUCAGUUCCCAUGGAGGCCCCUCCUGCCACCCACUGCGCACCCUGGGGUCGCCUGUCCACCCCCAGAGAGUCACAGGCGGGGAGCUGGCCCCAGGAGUCCGGAGGGGGCUCCCUGCUGCUCCUUCUGUUCUGCGUAUCUAGCGAGGGGGCCUCGGUGUCCCUGCCCCUGCCAGCACGGCUGCUCCCUUCUCCACAGCAAGGAAGGGCAGGACAGGCUGCUGACUGAGGGGACAACACAGCCCACCAGUGAAAGCCAGCUGAGGGCUGUGGUCCUCUUCCUGUGCUGGGCCAACGUGUGUCUGUGUCCCCACCCACUGGCCACCGCCGGCACCUGGGGUCCCUCUGCACCCCAGGGUGA